This 73-nucleotide transfer RNA is filed under the name Sus scrofa (pig). It matches the Rfam family "tRNA". From Rfam's summary of the family: Transfer RNA (tRNA) molecules are approximately 80 nucleotides in length. Their secondary structure includes four short double-helical elements and three loops (D, anti-codon, and T loops). The record is from Rfam by way of RNAcentral. Lineage: Eukaryota; Metazoa; Chordata; Mammalia; Artiodactyla; Suidae.
UCCCUGGUGGUGUAGUGGUUAAGGAUUUGGCAUUGUCACUGCUGUGGCUCAGGUUCCAACCCUGGCCUGGGAA